RNAcentral lists this ribosomal RNA (439 nucleotides) under uncultured bacterium. RNAcentral describes it as "partial 16S ribosomal RNA". It matches the Rfam family "Bacterial small subunit ribosomal RNA", at positions 339 to 795 of the family's 1533-position model. The record is from RNAcentral.
CUACGGGUGGCAGCAGUGGGGAAUAUUGCACAAUGGGCGAAAGCCUGAUGCAGCAACGCCGCGUGAGCGAUGAAGGCCUUCGGGUCGUAAAGCUCUGUCCUCAAGGAAGAAUUUUGACGGUACUUGAGGAGGAAGCCCCGGCUAACUACGUGCCAGCAGCCGCGGUAAUACGUAGGGGGCUAGCGUUAUCCGGAAUUACUGGGCGUAAAGGGUGCGUAGGUGGUCUGACAAGUCAGGGGUGAAAGGCUACGGCUCAACCGUAGUAAGCCCUUGAAACUGUCGGACUUGAGUGCAGGAGAGGAAAGUGGAAUUCCCAGUGUAGCGGUGAAAUGCGUAGAUAUUGGGAGGAACAUCAGUGGCGAAGGCGACUUUCUGGACUGUAACUGACACUGAGGCACGAAAGCGUGGGGAGCAAACAGGAUUAGAUACCCUGGUAGUC